RNAcentral lists this ribosomal RNA (1376 nucleotides) under uncultured bacterium. Its description in RNAcentral is "16S ribosomal RNA". It matches the Rfam family "Bacterial small subunit ribosomal RNA". The record is from RNAcentral.
GAGUUUGAUCCUGGCUCAGGACGAACGCUGGCGGCGUGCUUAACACAUGCAAGUCGAACGGUAAGGCCCCAGCUUGCUGGGGUACACGAGUGGCGAACGGGUGAGUAACACGUGGGUGACCUGCCCCGCACUUCGGGAUAAGCCUGGGAAACUGGGUCUAAUACCGGAUAGGACCGCACCGUGAGGGUGUGGUGGAAAGUUUUUCGGUGUGGGAUGGGCCCGCGGCCUAUCAGCUUGUUGGUGGGGUAAUGGCCUACCAAGGCGGCGACGGGUAGCCGGCCUGAGAGGGUGGACGGCCACAUUGGGACUGAGACACGGCCCAGACUCCUACGGGAGGCAGCAGUGGGGAAUAUUGCACAAUGGGCGGAAGCCUGAUGCAGCGACGCCGCGUGGGGGAUGACGGCCUUCGGGUUGUAAACUCCUUUCACCAUCGACGAAGGUUUUCUGACGGUAGAUGGAGAAGAAGCACCGGCUAACUACGUGCCUGCAGCCGCGGUAAUACGUAGGGCGCGAGCGUUGUCCGGAAUUACUGGGCGUAAAGAGCUCGUAGGUGGUUUGUCGCGUCGUCUGUGAAAUUCCGGGGCUUAACUCCAGGCGUGCAGGCGAUACGGGCAUAACUUGAGUACUGUAGGGGAGACUGGAAUUCCUGGUGUAGCGGUGAAAUGCGCAGAUAUCAGGAGGAACACCGGUGGCGAAGGCGGGUCUCUGGGCAGUAACUGACCCUGAGGAGCGAAAGCAUGGGUAGCGAACAGGAUUAGAUACCCUGGUAGUCCAUGCCGUAAACGGUGAGCGCUAGGUGUAGGGGUCUUCCACGACUUCUGUGCCGUAGCUAACGCAUUAAGCGCCCCGCCUGGGGAGUACGGCCGCAAGGCUAAAACUCAAAGGAAUUGACGGGGGCCCGCACAAGCGGCGGAGCAUGUGGAUUAAUUCGAUGCAACGCGAAGAACCUUACCUGGGCUUGACAUAUACGGGACCGGGCCAGAGAUGGUCCUUCCCUUGUGGCUCGUAUACAGGUGGUGCAUGGUUGUCGUCAGAAUCGUGUCGUGAGAUGUUGGGUUAAGUCCCGCAACGAGCGCAACCCUUGUCUUAUGUUGCCAGCACGUAAUGGUGGGGACUCGUGAGAAACUGCCGGGGUCAACUCGGAGGAAGGUGGGGAUGACGUCAAAUCAUCAUGCCCCUUAUGUCCAGGGCUUCACACAUGCUACAAUGGUCGGUACAGUGGGUUGCGAUGCCGUGAGGUGGAGCUAAUCCCUGAAAGCCGGUCUCAGUUCGGAUCGGGGUCUGCAACUCGACCCCGUGAAGUCGGAGUCGCUAGUAAUCGCAGAUCAGCAACGCUGCGGAGAAUACGUUGCCGGGCCUUGACACACCGCCCGUCA